Long non-coding RNA from Lathyrus oleraceus (garden pea), 618 nucleotides. RefSeq lists it as uncharacterized. NCBI's taxonomy places the organism in Eukaryota, Viridiplantae, Streptophyta, Magnoliopsida, Fabales, Fabaceae. The record is from RefSeq and is a predicted model, not a curated record. The transcript has 3 exons.
GCCAACGUCCGAUGAGAAGAGAAGCGCAAGUUUGUCCUUAUGGAGAAUAAUGAUUGCGUCAUGAUUGUUCAAAAAGAGUUCGUAAAUAGCACUCCCAUCUAUUUGGACCAAUCUCUUUCUGAAAUGAAUCUUAAAAAUCUAGUGAUCCGUGAGCAGGGAGCAUCAAAUGGCAAAGGGUUGAGAAAGCGAUAUGCAGUCGAUAGCUCAAAGGCCUCCUCUACCAAACAAGCAGAAAAUAGAUGCGAAGCAGCCCAACGUUGUCCAUUGCUCAAGUAUGGUAAGCUAGGAGCCUCAAUUCGUGUCUGAAGGAAUCUUGAUAUAACCAAAAGCUUCUAACGAGAUGGAGCUGGUGAAUGGCAGUAAUCCUGUCACCUAAUUUCUCUUUCCUAACCUUGAAGGUUGAUUGAGUCGUAGCUUGACUAAGACCAUGUCUCUAACUCUGAACUCCGCCAACUUCAUUUAGCAUCAACAUACUUCUUCAUAACUUGCUGAGCACGAUGGAGAUUGUACAGAAGUUUGACAUUUUGUUUCGAUAAUGACUUAUGCGAUUUUGUACAGUUUCAUGAUUUUGAUUCUAAUGGAGCUUGUUGCAGGGUCCUGCUUGGAAAUUAAAUGAUG